CAGUAGCCGCGGUAAUACGUAGGUGGCAAGCGUUGUCCGGAGUUAUUGGGCGUAAAGGGCUCGCAGGCGGUUUCUUAAGUCUGAUGUGAAAGCCCCCGGCUCAACCGGGGAGGGUCAUUGGAAACUGGGAAACUUGAGUGCAGAAGAGGAGAGUGGAAUUCCACGUGUAGCGGUGAAAUGCGUAGAGAUGUGGAGGAACACCAGUGGCGAAGGCGACUCUCUGGUCUGUAACUGACGCUGAGGAGCGAAAGCGUGGGGAGCGAACAGGAUUAGAUACCCCAGUAGUCCCUGUCUCUUAUAC
Molecule: ribosomal RNA, 301 nt
Filed under: uncultured bacterium
Lineage: Bacteria
Description: partial 16S ribosomal RNA
Rfam family: Bacterial small subunit ribosomal RNA
Source: RNAcentral